AAUAGACUCUAUAUAGUAGUAAAUAUAUAUUAAAACACUUUUAGACCAUGGCUAAAAGUGGAUAAAAUCCAUGGUCUAUCACAACCACACACAAACAACUCUUUUCAAACAUUUUAUUGGAUCGGCGAGCUAUUUUUCUUAUGAGAUUCACCACCAGAUAUUGUUUAAAAUAUUAAAAAUUAUCUAUCAUUAUUCAAAAAUACACUUAAUCAAAAUACCUUAACAUUUUAGAUUUAUUGUUUACUAAUUAUUUUUCAAGCUUUAGUAUUUAGAGGGUAGAGUUGAGUUUAAAUACUUCUAUAAAUGUUUUAUAAAUUUUUUAAAACGUUUAAAAAUUAUUUAGAAGAAUUAAUUUAAUAUUUGUAAUCACAAAUUUAAAUUAUUUUUGAAAAUAGUUGUCCUUUAAAACAUAAAUUUGAAAAUAAUAUCAAAUAUUUGAUAAAAUUGAAAUACAAACAAAAAUCAUCAAACAAUUGAAAUUAGAUUUAUUCGAUCUGCUCAAUAGCAUCCAUCGAAAUGCACAGGCAGCCCAACCACUAAAGUCUUUACUCAUUUCGUAAGGAACGAACAUUUAACUAAUUUUCAAAUGAAGUAACAAACUUUGUUUCUAAGGAAAUAUUUUCUUUUCUUUAACACACUUGUAAUCCAAUUUACAUAACUAUCUAGAGAAAAUGCCUUAGAUAACAUCAAAUUAAGUUUUUGUCCCCAAACUAGCACUCAAAAUCUAAAAUCACAAAAAUAAGUUUCAUUAAAAGGGAUCAUUUACCCUUACGCCCUCUCCUUUGAUUAAUUAAAAAAAAAAAUCGAAAAUCUAAUCGUCGGAAACAAUCCCGUCGUGUUCAUCUUCCUCGUCCUUCACCUACGAUGGAUUACCAUUGCUCCACCCUGUUUCUUUCCGUCGUCAUCAGAUAUACCGUCUUCAGGUCAGCACAUCCGUCGUCAUCAGAUUCGUUGUGGCUGUCAUCAGGUUCGUCGUUGUUGUCCCCGAGCUAUGGAUGCUGGUGUUAAGUUACAUGACGCAGACUUUAGAUUGCAGAUAUCAGCUUUGUGGUGAUGUAUCUAGAAGCCGUGCCUCCGAUCGGAUAAAUAAAAGAGGAGAAUCAGUGGAAGAUAAGAUUAAAAAGCUUGAUGUUGAGCUCUGCAAAUACAGAGAGCAGAUUCAAAAGACACGAUCUGGUCCUGUUCAACAAGCUCUCAAAGCUCGUGCUAUGAGGCUUCUCAAGCAGAAGAAAAUGUAUGAAGGACAACGCGACAUGCUUUAUAAUCAGACAUUCAAUCUCGAUCAAGUCUCUUUCACUGCUGAAGGUCUCAAAGAUGCUCAACAAACUGUAAUGCAUAUCUCUCUUUGUUUCUAAGCUAUUGUCCACGCCUGUGGACGUGGCUAGGUUAUAUAUGCGAGCUCGUCUGCCAUGGGGAUCUCCGUCUGUGAACAAUUCAAAGUUUUGGUCACCAUCAUCAGCAGGGACGCAACUUCUUAAGGAAGGAACACCAUUUUCUUAUAAUGCUGGAAACUUAUCCUCUUCCAAGGUACAUCAGAAAGGUUUCUAAUAUAUUAUGCAUUGCAGUGCAAACUUUUUUGUGAUGUUAAUUCCAGUUUUCCAAUAGAAAGUUUGCAUACCAGCAUGUAUUUCUAAUGGCUCUCUCAGAGUUAUGGCUCUCUCAGAUUUUAGCAUGCGUCUUUAUUCACUAUUGUAUUUGGCCAAGCAGGACUUUGAGUAGGAACAAACUUAACGGGACUAUCCCUGUGUCACUUACUGGUCUUCCAAACCUAAUAAAUCUGUAAGUUACUGCUCUCUCUGUCUGUGAUCCCCUUCUUUUUUUGGAAGCUCCUCUUUCUUAAUCAAUUUGAAACUAUGUUUUUACAGUCUUCUUGAUUCCAAUAAUCUCAAUGGCCAGAUUCCUCAAACUCUAUUUCAGAUCCCAAAAUACAAUUUCACAGGAAACAACUUGAAUUGUGGUGUUGGUCAACCUCACCCUUGUGUACUGAGGUUGUCCGUUCAGGUGAUUCAAGCAAGCCAAAAACUGGUAUUAUUGCAGGAGUUGUUGCCGGAGUUACUGUCCUCCUCUUUGGAAUCUUAGUGUUCUUGUUCUGCAGGGAUAGACAUAAAGGAUACAAACGUGAUGUGUUCGUGGAUGUUGCAGGUUGGUUCGUGGAUGUUGCAGCUGUACCACCUCAAAUCAGUUUGGUCUGUUUUGUGUUGUGGUUUGUUUGAACUUUAGAUAGUGGUGCUGCUCAGAACAUCAACAUCAGAACCAGAAUGAAUUUAAAAAGUUUUACAAAGUUUAAUCUAUAUUUGCUGUCAAGAUUUGCUUACUGAUCAUCAUCACUCAGAAAGAGAAAAAGGAUCAACGAUCGUUUUCAAGCACUAAAAGAAAGAGACAUGGACAAGUCACCCACCUCAAUCGUUUGAUUUGGUAGUGGCUUUAACUAAAAAUCAACGUGAUCUCUAUGCAUAUUUAAACUAUAUCUCAAUAAUGUUCUCAUUAUAUGGCGGCAAUAUUUAAUCCUUUGUGUGAUGAGUGCUUUUGUUGGUUAAUAAAGAAAAUAGCAUUAGAUGUGACAAGUUUUAUCCUAAGUCUUUGUUAUAUACUUUUAAUUCACUAACCUGUAAAGUACUAUUGGAAAGUAAUUGAGAUUAUCUUCUUUUUCAUGUAUGUGAUUCAUCUUUUUGGUCAUGUAGACACUAUCUCUUGAUAGAAUUAUUGAAAAUGUUUCAAGCUAUCUCAUUUUAAUGUUCUCGGUUUGAUAUAUGUUCUCUAUUUUGUAGACAACUAACUAUAUUUGAUGAUUUCUAUAGCCAAUGAAUUUUCUUAUAGAUUUUGAUUAUGUUUUUUUUUUGGAAGAUUAAGUUCCAAUUUAGUAUAGCCAUCCUGAACAAGGAUUGUCUAAUAUUCCUUACACGCUUUUGAUUCUCUUCGACAACAGAUUUAUGCAAGAAAACACACUCAUUUUAUUUUUCUUGAAACCCACCCUGAAAGUGCCAAAAGAUAUCCUAUAUAACAUAUGUGUUUUAUAAUUAUACCACAUUUAACAGUUUCUUGAUAGAAUUAUUGAAAAUGCUUUAAGCUAUCCUAUUUUAAUGUUCUUGGUUUGAUAUGUGUUCUCUAUUUUGUAGACAAUAAACUCUAUUUUGGUGAUUUCUAUAGCCAAUGAAUUUUCUUAUAGAUUUUGAUUAUGUUUUUUUGGAAGAUUAAGUUCAAAAUUAGGAUAGCCAUCCUGAACAAGGAUUGUCUAACAUUCCUUACACGCUUUUGAUUCUCUUCGAAAACAGAUUUAUGCAAGAAAACACACUCAAUUUAUUUUUCUUGAAACUCAUCCUGAAAGUGCCAAAAGAUAUCCUAUAUAACAUAUGUGUUUUAUAAUUAUACCACAUUUAACACUUUCUUAAUAGAAUUAUUGAAAAUGCUUCAAGCUAUCAUAUUUUAAUGUUCUCUGUUUGAUAUGUGUUCUCUAUUUUGUGGACAACUAACUCUAUUUUGGUGAUUUCUAUAGCAAAUGAAUUUUCGUAUAGAUUUUCAUUAUGUUUUUUUUUUUUUGGAAGAUUAAGUUCCAAAUUAGGAUAGCCAUAUUGAACAAGGAUUGUCUAACAUUCCUUACACGCUUUUGAUUCUCUUCGAAAACAGACUUAUGAAAGAAAACACAUUCAUUUUAUUUUUCUUGAAACCCAUCCUGAAAGUGCCAAAAGAUAUCCUAUAUAACAUAUGUGUUUUAUAAUUAUACCACAUUUAACAGUUUCUUGAUAGAAUUAUUGAAAAUGCUUCAAGCUAUCCUAUUUUAAUGUUCUUGGUUUGAUAUGUGUUCUCUAUUUUGUAGACAAUAAACUCUAUUUUGGUGAUUUCUAUAGCCAAUGAAUUUUCUUAUAGAUUUUGAUUAUGUUUUUUUUGGAAGAUUAAGUUCAAAAUUAGGAUAGCCAUCCUGAACAAGGAUUGUCUAACAUUCCUUACACGCUUUUGAUUCUCUUCGAAAACAGAUUUAUGCAAGAAAACACACUCAAUUUAUUUUUCUUGAAACUCAUCCUGAAAGUGCCAAAAGAUAUCCUAUAUAACAUAUGUGUUUUAUAAUUAUACCACAUUUAACACUUUCUUAAUAGAAUUAUUGAAAAUGCUUCAAGCUAUCAUAUUUUAAUGUUCUCUGUUUGAUAUGUGUUCUCUAUUUUGUGGACAACUAACUCUAUUUUGGUGAUUUCUAUAGCAAAUGAAUUUUCUUAUAGAUUUUCAUUAUGUUUUUUUUUUUUGGAAGAUUAAGUUCCAAAUUAGGAUAGCCAUAUUGAACAAGGAUUGUCUAACAUUCCUUACACGCUUUUGAUUCUCUUCGAAAACAGACUUACGAAAGAAAACACAUUCAUUUUAUUUUUCUUGAAACCCAUCCUGAAAGUGCCAAAAGAUAUCCUAUAUAACAUAUGUGUUUUAUAAUUAUACCACAUUUAACACUUUCUUGAUAGAAUUAUUGAAAAUGCUUCAAGCUAUCCUAUUUUAAUGUUCUUGGUUUGAUAAGUGUUCUCUAUUUUGUAGACAAUAAACUCUAUUUUGGUGAUUUCUAUAGCCAAUGAAUUUUCUUAUAGAUUUUAAUUAUGUUUUUUUGGAAGAUUAAGUUCAAAAUUAGGAUAGCCAUCCUGAACAAGGAUUGUCUAACAUUCCUUACACGCUUUUGAUUCUCUUCGAAAACAGAUUUAUGCAAGAAAACACACUCAAUUUAUUUUUCUUGAAACUCAUCCUGAAAGUGCCAAAAGAUAUCCUAUAUAACAUAUGUGUUUUAUAAUUAUACCACAUUUAACACUUUCUUAAUAGAAUUAUUGAAAAUGCUUCAAGCUAUCAUAUUUUAAUGUUCUCUGUUUGAUAUGUGUUCUCUAUUUUGUAGACAACUAACUCUAUUUUGGUGAUUUCUAUAGCAAAUGAAUUUUCUUAUAGAUUUUGAUUAUGUUUUUUUUUUUUUUUGGAAGAUUAAGUUCCAAAUUAGGAUAGCCAUAUUGAACAAGGAUUGUCUAACAUUCCUUACACGCUUUUGA
Molecule: long non-coding RNA, 5006 nt
Organism: Brassica napus (rape)
Lineage: Eukaryota; Viridiplantae; Streptophyta; Magnoliopsida; Brassicales; Brassicaceae
Exons: 5
Source: RefSeq, a predicted model, not a curated record